CGGGUGGUAAUGCCGGAUGUUCCACAUGAUCGCAUGUGAUUGUGGGAAAGAUUUCAUCGGCGUGGGAUGGGGUCGCGUCCUAUCAGCUUGUUGGUGAGGUAACGGCUCACCAAGGCUUCGACGGGUAGCCGGCCUGAGAGGGCGACCGGCCACAUUGGGACUGAGAUACGGCCCAGACUCCUACGGGAGGCAGCAGUGGGGAAUAUUGCACAAUGGGCGCAAGCCUGAUGCAGCGACGCCGCGUGAGGGAUGGAGGCCUUCGGGUUGUAAACCUCUUUUGUUUGGGAGCAAGCCUUCGGGUGAGUGUACCUUUCGAAUAAGCGCCGGCUAACUACGUGCCAGCAGCCGCGGUAAUACGUAGGGCGCAAGCGUUAUCCGGAUUUAUUGGGCGUAAAGGGCUCGUAGGCGGCUCGUCGCGUCCGGUGUGAAAGUCCAUCGCUUAACGGUGGAUCUGCGCCGGGUACGGGCGGGCUGGAGUGCGGUAGGGGAGACUGGAAUUCCCGGUGUAACGGUGGAAUGUGUAGAUAUCGGAA
This 533-nucleotide ribosomal RNA is filed under the name Bifidobacterium bifidum. RNAcentral's name for it is "bacterial SSU rRNA". It matches the Rfam family "Bacterial small subunit ribosomal RNA", at positions 157 to 702 of the family's 1533-position model. The record is from RNAcentral. Lineage: Bacteria; Bacillati; Actinomycetota; Actinomycetes; Bifidobacteriales; Bifidobacteriaceae.